This 879-nucleotide ribosomal RNA is filed under the name Agaricus brunneolus. RNAcentral's name for it is "eukaryotic LSU rRNA". It matches the Rfam family "Eukaryotic large subunit ribosomal RNA", at positions 72 to 938 of the family's 3401-position model. Lineage: Eukaryota; Fungi; Basidiomycota; Agaricomycetes; Agaricales; Agaricaceae. The record is from RNAcentral.
GGAUUCCCCUAGUAACUGCGAGUGAAGCGGGAAAAGCUCAAAUUUAAAAUCUGGCAGUCUCUGGCUGUCCGAGUUGUAAUCUAGAGAAGUAAUGCCCGUGCUGGACCGUGUAUAAGUCUCCUGGGAUGGGGCGUCAUAGAGGGUGAGAAUCCCGUCUUUGACACGGACUACCAGUGCAUUGUGGUAUGCUCUCAAAGAGUCGAGUUGUUUGGGAAUGCAGCUCAAAAUGGGUGGUAAAUUCCAUCUAAAGCUAAAUAUUGGCGAGAGACCGAUAGCGAACAAGUACCGUGAGGGAAAGAUGAAAAGAACUUUGGAAAGAGAGUUAAACAGUACGUGAAAUUGCUGAAAGGGAAACGCUUGAAGUCAGUCGCGUUGGCCGGGAAUCAGCCUUGCUUCUGCAUGGUGUACUUUCUGGUUGACGGGUCAGCAUCAAUUUUGACCGCUGGAAAAAGGCCUGGGGAAUGUGGCAGCUUCGGCUGUGUUAUAGCCCCUAGUUGCAUACAGUGGUUGGGAUUGAGGAACUCAGCACGCCGCAAGGCCGGGUUUCGACCACGUUCGUGCUUAGGAUGCUGGCAUAAUGGCUUUAAGCGACCCGUCUUGAAACACGGACCAAGGAGUCUAACAUGCCUGCGAGUAUUUGGGUGGAAAACUCAAGUGCGUAAUGAAAGUGAAAGUUGAGAUCCCUGUCGUGGGGAGCAUCGACGCCCGGACCAGAACUUUUGGGACGGAUCCGCGGUGGAGCAUGUAUGUUGGGACCCGAAAGAUGGUGAACUAUGCCUGAAUAGGGUGAAGCCAGAGGAAACUCUGGUGGAGGCUCGUAGCGAUUCUGACGUGCAAAUCGAUCGUCAAAUUUGGGUAUAGGGGCGAAAGACUAAUCGA